Balaenoptera musculus (blue whale) is the source of this 313-nucleotide long non-coding RNA. RefSeq lists it as uncharacterized. The transcript has 4 exons. Lineage: Eukaryota; Metazoa; Chordata; Mammalia; Artiodactyla; Balaenopteridae. The record is from RefSeq and is a predicted model, not a curated record.
CCAGCAGCUGCACUCCCCAAACGCCUGCCCGACCUGAGGUGUCCCUCUGAAGAGCCCCUGAGCCCGCUCACGUUAACCCCCCCGAGAGGAGAGGGAUGUCGCUAGCCCUGUUGCCAUACGAAAAACAGAGGCCCGUGUGGGGAAGAUGUGGAAGCUGAGCUGUGAAGAGAAGAUGAGGUCUGCAAGGCCACAUAGCUGGAAAGGAGUACACGGGGUGCUGUUCCCAUUAGCUCUGUCUGAUCCCCUAGAGCUGCCCCUGGAGGUCCCUCCCUGGAGGCUGAAAGGAAGGGGCAGGAGUGAGGUGGUGAGGGCC